UACGUAGGGUGCAAGCGUUGUCCGGAAUUAUUGGGCGUAAAGAGCUCGUAGGCGGUCUGUCGCGUCUGCUGUGAAAACUCGGGGCUUAACCCCGGGCCUGCAGUGGGUACGGGCAGACUAGAGUGCGGUAGGGGAGACUGGAAUUCCUGGUGUAGCGGUGGAAUGCGCAGAUAUCAGGAGGAACACCGGUGGCGAAGGCGGGUCUCUGGGCCGUAACUGACGCUGAGGAGCGAAAGCAUGGGGAGCGAACAGG
RNAcentral lists this ribosomal RNA (253 nucleotides) under uncultured bacterium. RNAcentral's name for it is "partial 16S ribosomal RNA". It matches the Rfam family "Bacterial small subunit ribosomal RNA", at positions 524 to 776 of the family's 1533-position model. The record is from RNAcentral.